AUUUCUUACAAACUCCAUUAGAGUUAUAAUCAAACUUUAUUGUCUAUGUUUGUAUAAUCAAACUUUAAGGUAUACCAAUAAAUGUUGUGAUAUCAAAUAUACCUCUUGUGUAGAUUCCUUUCUUUCUCUCACGUUUUUCUCUUUCUGUUUCUGUAUUCUAUGACACAAGAUUCCACCACAAAAGUUAUUUUAUCAACCAUCCUUGUUUUCAAUUUCAAUUGCUUUCAGUUGCUUGGCCGAUAAAAGUCAUUGUCUUUUGCCCAAAUAUUAAUACGUUUCCUUUUUCUUCUAUUUUCCAUAUAGAAAAUUUUGGGAUUUGGUUACGGCAGAACCUCAC
RNAcentral lists this long non-coding RNA (337 nucleotides) under Nicotiana benthamiana. Its description in RNAcentral is "long non-coding RNA (NBEN_LNC027761)". The record is from RNAcentral. Lineage: Eukaryota; Viridiplantae; Streptophyta; Magnoliopsida; Solanales; Solanaceae.